Molecule: ribosomal RNA, 524 nt
Filed under: Clostridioides difficile
Lineage: Bacteria; Bacillati; Bacillota; Clostridia; Peptostreptococcales; Peptostreptococcaceae
Description: partial 23S ribosomal RNA
Rfam family: Bacterial large subunit ribosomal RNA
Source: RNAcentral
GGUCAAGUUAUUAAGGGUGCAGGGCGGAUGCCUUGGCACUAGGAGCCGAUGAAGGACGUGAUAAGCUGCGAUAAGCUUCGGGGAGUUGCACGUAAACUUUGAUCCGAAGAUUUCCGAAUGAGGAAACUCACUUAGAGUAAUGUCUAAGUAUCAUUAAGUGAAUACAUAGCUUAAUGAGGGGAACUCAGGGAACUGAAACAUCUAAGUACCUGAAGGAAGAGAAAGAAAUUCGAUUCCGUAAGUAGCGGCGAGCGAACGCGGAUUAGCCCAAACCAAUAAAGUUUUCUUUAUUGGGGUUGCGGACAUAUCAUAACGAAGAGGUAUCGUAAUUGAAGAGGUUUGGAAAGACCCACCACAGAAGGUAAUAGUCCUGUAUGUUAAACGAGAAGACUUUAGAUAUGAUCCAGAGUACCACGGGACACGUGAAACCCUGUGGGAAGCAGGAGGGACCACCCUCCAAGGCUAAAUACUACCUAGUGACCGAUAGCGUAUAGUACCGUGAGGGAAAGGUGAAAAGAACCCCG